This is a small nuclear RNA of Capra hircus (goat), 106 nucleotides long. The record is from Ensembl. NCBI's taxonomy places the organism in Eukaryota, Metazoa, Chordata, Mammalia, Artiodactyla, Bovidae.
GUGCUUGCUUCGGCAGCACAUAUACUAAAAUUGGAACGAUGCAGAGAAGAUUAGCAUGGCCCCGUGCAAAGAUGACAUGCAAAUUCGUGAAGCAUUCCUUAUUUUU